Molecule: non-coding RNA, 347 nt
Organism: Paramuricea clavata
Lineage: Eukaryota; Metazoa; Cnidaria; Anthozoa; Malacalcyonacea; Plexauridae
Source: the annotation of a GenBank genome assembly
AUGGUUAUUUUAAUUAAACAAAAUUAUUUUGGGUAAUAGCUGGAAAUGCACUUUCUAGGCUUGUAAUUUUCUGGGGGCAUGCCCCACACCUCCUUGGGAAGGCUUGCUGCAAACUUAUUCCUUCUCAACCAGCCUCCCCUACAAUCAUAAAAUUGUUGUGUGUUCCCUGGUUUGUACUCAGAAUGGUGUCUGUUAGAAUGGUGUCUGCAGUAUCUUUGAGGAAUUCUUUAGUAUAUUCAGGCAGACAAGAAUUUCCCACACAGGAUAUUGUCUAUGACAGCUGCCUUAAUCUUUAAUGUACACUAACCAUUACAAUUUGAAUAUAAAUCUUCCCUAACAUUAAGACU